UAGGGAAUCUUCCACAAUGGACGCAAGUCUGAUGCAGCAACGCCGCGUGAGGGAAGAAGGUCUUCGGAUUGUAAACCUUUGUCCUCGGUGACGAUAAUGACGGUAGCCGAGGAGGAAGCUCCGGCUAACUACGUGCCAGCAGCCGCGGUAAUACGUAGGUGGCAAGCGUUGUCCGGAUUUAUUGGGCGUAAAGGGAACGCAGGCGGUCUUUUAAGUCUGAUGUGAAAGCCUUCGGCUUAACCGAAGUCGUGCAUUGGAAACUGGGAGACUUGAGUGCAGAAGAGGAGAGUGGAACUCCAUGUGUAGCGGUGAAAUGCGUAGAUAUAUGGAAGAACACCAGUGGCGAAAGCGGCUCUCUGGUCUGUAACUGACGCUGAGGUUCGAAAGCGUGGGUAGCAAACAGGAUUAGAUACCCUGGUAGUCCACGCUGUAAACGAUGAAUGCUAAGUGUUGGAGGGUUUCCGCCCUUCAGUGCUGCAGCUAACGCAUUAAGCAUUCCGCCUGGGGAGUACGACCGCAAGGUUG
This 525-nucleotide ribosomal RNA is filed under the name uncultured bacterium. RNAcentral's name for it is "bacterial SSU rRNA". It matches the Rfam family "Bacterial small subunit ribosomal RNA", at positions 355 to 896 of the family's 1533-position model. The record is from RNAcentral.